GGAAAGAAAUCCUUGAUUCUAAUACAGUCGGGGGAUGACGGUACCGGAAGAAUAAGCACCGGCUAACUACGUGCCAGCAGCCGCGGUAAUACGUAGGGUGCGAGCGUUAAUCGGAAUUACUGGGCGUAAAGCGUGCGCAGGCGGUUUGCUAAGACCGAUGUGAAAUCCCCGGGCUCAACCUGGGAACUGCAUUGGUGACUGGCAGGCUAGAGUAUGGCAGAGGGGGGUAGAAUUCCACGUGUAGCAGUGAAAUGCGUAGAGAUGUGGAGGAAUACCGAUGGCGAAGGCAGCCCCCUGGGCCAAUACUGACGCUCAUGCACGAAAGCGUGGGGAGCAAACAGGAUUAGAUACCCUGGUAGUCCACGCCCUAAACGAUGUCAACUAGUUGUUGGGGAUUCAUUUCCUUA
This 407-nucleotide ribosomal RNA is filed under the name Burkholderia sp. Its description in RNAcentral is "bacterial SSU rRNA". It matches the Rfam family "Bacterial small subunit ribosomal RNA", at positions 442 to 842 of the family's 1533-position model. Lineage: Bacteria; Pseudomonadati; Pseudomonadota; Betaproteobacteria; Burkholderiales; Burkholderiaceae. The record is from RNAcentral.